This 265-nucleotide long non-coding RNA is filed under the name Ananas comosus (pineapple). Its description in RNAcentral is "long non-coding RNA (ACOM_LNC024578)". The record is from RNAcentral. Lineage: Eukaryota; Viridiplantae; Streptophyta; Magnoliopsida; Poales; Bromeliaceae.
UGGCUUUUUUUUUUUAUUUUUUUCCUUUUGAAAAUUAACGUGAUGAUUUGGGUAAUUAUAAAAUAUUUUUGUGAUAAUAUGAUUUUAUAAAGUAUAUUUACUGUUACUUUAAAAUUAUUAGAAAGUAUAGUAAGACACUUCUUAAUUAUUUACUUGUUUCAAAAUUUUAUGAAAGUGUGCGCUUGACCUCUCUCGGACGCGCGCCUAUACCUUGCGUCUUGCGCUUUGCGCCUAGGCUCCAACAGCCCUUUGCGCCUAGGUGCGG